Molecule: ribosomal RNA, 279 nt
Filed under: uncultured bacterium
Lineage: Bacteria
Description: partial 16S ribosomal RNA
Rfam family: Bacterial small subunit ribosomal RNA
Source: RNAcentral
UGCCAGCCGCCGCGGUAAUACGGAGGGUGCAAGCGUUAAUCGGAAUUACUGGGCGUAAAGCGCGCGUAGGCGGCUAAAUCAGUCGGGUGUGAAAGCCCUGGGCUCAACCUGGGAACUGCAUUCGAUACUGUUUGGCUUGAGUAUGGGAGAGGGUAGUGGAAUUCCACGUGUAGCGGUGAAAUGCGUAGAUAUAGGAAGGAACACCAGUGGCGAAGGCGACACCCUGGACCAAUACUGACACUGAGGUGCGAAAGCGUGGGGAGCAAACAGGAUUAGAUA